Long non-coding RNA from Branchiostoma floridae (Florida lancelet), 2914 nucleotides. RefSeq lists it as uncharacterized. Lineage: Eukaryota; Metazoa; Chordata; Leptocardii; Amphioxiformes; Branchiostomatidae. The record is from RefSeq and is a predicted model, not a curated record. The transcript is spliced from 2 exons.
UGGUAAAAGAAGAUUUUUUAAAUUUAUAAACAUUGAAUCGAUGUGAUACUACAGUCAUCAAUCUAUGGGUUUUUAAACCUGAGCAAGGGAUCGCGCGCGCGUGUGCUUGUGUGUGAGUGUGUCUGUAUCGAAAAUACGUCUUAAAAUUAUCAAAUCGUUUGUUCUUGAAUCUAAUUGACUGUCUUGUCGGACAUUGAAGUAAGUAUUUACAGUUACUUGUCUUAUGUGAAGGAUCAGCCCAAUGCUUUUAUUUUGAAUUAAUGGAGGUCGCAAAAUUAUGUGUUUAGUGAUUAUACACGGUGAAUUACUUUUCUCUUUCUCUUUUUUUUUUUUCGCAAGACAAAUAAUUUGUCUUGUCUUAUACGCAACCCAGCCCCAAUUUGGGUAUUGAAUGAAUAGAACACAUCCUGUGCAGGUUACUUGUCUUAUGUGAAGGAGCUGUUCAAUGCUUUUAUCUUGAAUUGAUGGAGGCCGGAAAUUAUGUAUUUAAUGAUUAUACAUGGUGAAUUGCUUUUGCUGUCUUACUUCCUGUAAGACAAAAAUUGUUUUGUCUUAUACGAAACCCAGCCCAAUCUGUGUAUUGAAUGAAUAGUACACAUCCUGCGCUGAAAAUUGUGUGAUGUCAAUUACAUAAUUAACGUUUUUGUACUUGGUUAAUGAUUUCUUCCUGUUUACCUUUUUAUCAGAAAACUGGCUGUAAUUGCUAUAUUGUUGGUGACUUCCUGAAAAAAAGAUUUGUCGGGUGUGGUUAUGUUUUUUGUAGGCGCGGCUUAAACGAGUUGUCUAUAGACACAGGACUAUAUAAUCGCACAUUUUCUUGCAUCGAGUAAUACCGACUGGCGUGCGAGGCACCUUGCAUCACGUUAGAGAGAGAGAGAGAGAGAGAGAGAGAAAGAGACGACCCAGCAAUGUUGGUUCAAGCGACAACGGUGAUCAACAGCUCAGACACUGAGAUUUUGACAUCAACGCUAGGACUUCCUGAACAGUUGAACGAAUCUGAUGAAGAAGGACUUCCUGAACUGUUGAACGAAUCUGAUGAAGAAGGACUUCCUGAACUGUUGAACGAAUCUGAUGAAGAAGGACUUCCUGAACAGUUGAACGAAUCUGAUGAAGAAGGACUUCCUGAACUGUUGAACGAAUCUGAUGAAGAAGGACUUCCUGAACUGUUGAACGAAUCUGAUGAGGAUUAACAAUACAGUAAUCAGCCUUUCAACACAACUUUGUAUCCCUGUAUUCCAAAGAAAUUAUACCGUAUACACUCGACUGGACAUUCUGUGGUCGAGGUUGACAACUUUGAAGACAUCAGGACUUACCGCGGGAUUGCAAAGUGUUUGGUACUGCCACCACAAGAUUUGACAAAUCCUAUUUUGUCAUAUAUGGUAGGAUAUGAACUGAUGUACCCAUUGUGUCAUACGUGUUCAAUUAAUGGACAAACCAUAUGUAACCAUAACGAUGACGAGCGAUCACUUUUUGGUGAAUGGCUAACUGCAGAGCUGAUAGAAGCUAUAAAGGUGGGAUACAAAGUCAUCAAAAUCUAUGAAGUCCAUCACUUUGAAAGUAGUCCAGAUAAGUUGUUCAGAGAGUACAUUGACACAUUUCUUAAAAUCAAGCAGGAAAGCCGCGGCUGUCCCGAAUGGGUUACUAGCACGUCUGUAGAAGAGGGUUUAGAUGAUAAUGAUACUAUGAGUAACGAGGUCAAAUAUUUUGAUGUACACAAAAUGUAUCCCUAUACAUGUUAUGAACCAAAGCAGGAAAGGAGUGACAGGACCGAUGAGAAGAACCCAGGUCUGCAUGCGUUAGCAAAGCUCUUCCUUAACUCUUUCUUUGGCAAGUUUAGCCGGGGAAACAACAUUGCAUAAUCUGAGUAUGUCAUAUUGACACAAACAUUAAGUAAAAAAAGGAUACUAUUAGGUUAAUGUACAACCAAGUGUAUAAUCCUAAACGACUACACUAUAUCUAUGAAGUUAAGCAGAAUUGUCAAUUGAGUCUAUUGAAAACAGUUUUAACUUUGUCUUGAUCAUACAUGGUUUGAAGACAAAUGUACUUGUAUUGUAGACAAUAUUUUUGCACAAAUGGUUGAUAACAUUUCAUUGUGUAUCAAACAUAAGCAUGUAACAAUUGCAUGUCACCCUACAUGUAGAUAUCUAAACUAUGGUCAUAAAUGAGUGGUUCUGAAUACUUUUUAAAUCCUGCUUUGAUCAUAAGUGCGUUUGAAAAACAUCGUUGUAUUUUGUAAAUAUUGUCUAUCACUGACACUGUGAUUUCUAAUUGUUUGAUGAGUGGGUCUGAAUACUUUGACAUCCUGCUUUGACCAUAAGUGUGUUUGAAAAAACAUCGUUGUCUUGAGUACACAUUGUCUAACACUGUGUUUUGUAAUUGUUUGAUUAAUUGGUUGUGUGUAAUGAAAACAAUCACGUAUGUGCUUCGAAGAUCAUUGUGAAAAUACGUAGUUGAUAACGAUGUACUACAUGAUUGCGCAUAGAAUAAAGUUGAUCAAAUCAUAUAUGAAUUAUGUUGGUGAUGAUGGUCUCACGUUUAUUUCAUCUAUUUGACAUAGGCAGAAUGAUUGUAUUUGUCUAGAGCAUAAACAGAGUCAUUGUGAUAAGUAGGCAUGUCUGGGCAAAACCUAAUCUUGCAUGCAAGGUCUGUUAGUAACGCCGUCCUGUUGGUUGAUUUUUAACGAGUCCUUAUUUGGAAUGGGGAUGUAGUCUGAGAACAGUGAAUGAAGACAUUGGGGAGCAUAGUGCCACAUACAGACAUCAUUAGGUAGUGUGUUACAUCAGUAGUGUGUAUAUGUUUAUGUUUAUUUUCUUAAUACAGGUAUGUAUUUACCAGAUAUUGAUAAAUCUAUAUUUAAGUUACAUGUACACUUUUUCUGGAUACAAAAGCAUCGAAUAAAUGUCGACAACGAGAA